Molecule: ribosomal RNA, 462 nt
Filed under: uncultured bacterium
Lineage: Bacteria
Description: bacterial SSU rRNA
Rfam family: Bacterial small subunit ribosomal RNA
Source: RNAcentral
AUCAACGCUGGCGGCGUGCCUAAUGCAUGCAAGUCGGACGGGACGGCCCUUGGGUCGCGACCGUGGCGGACGGGUGAGGAACGCGUGGGCAUCCUGCCCUGGAGCGGGGGGUAGCCGUCGGAAACGGCGGGUAAUUCCGCGUACGCUGGUUCAUCGGUGGGAUGGAUCAGGAAAGGUCCGCAAGGAUCACUCCGGGAGGGGCCCGCGACGGAUUAGCUGGUUGGUGGGGUAACGGCCUACCAAGGCGAUGAUCCGUAGCUGGUCUGAGAGGACGGCCAGCCACAGGGGAACUGAGACACGGUCCCCACUCCUACGGGAGGCAGCAGCAAGGAAUUUUCCGCAAUGGGCGCAAGCCUGACGGAGCAACGCCGCGUGGGGGAGGACGCCUUUCGGGGUGUAAACCCCUUUUCCGGGGGACGAAGCACUGACGGUACCCUGGGAAGAAGGCCCGGCUAACUACGU